CCUACGGGGUGCAGCAGUCGAGAAUCAUUCACAAUGGGGGCAACCCUGAUGGUGCGACGCCGCGUGGGGGAAUGAAGGUCUUCGGAUUGUAAACCCCUGUCAUGUGGGAGCAAAUUAAAAAGAUAGUACCACAAGAGGAAGAGACGGCUAACUGUGGGCCAGUAGCCGCGGUAAUGCAGAGGGGUCAAGGGUUAUUAGGAAUCACUUGGCGUAAAGCGUGGGGAGGCUGUUUUGUAAGUCGUGUGUGAAAGGUGCGGGCUAAACCCGCGGACGGAACAUGAUACUGGGAGACUAGAGUAAUGGAGGGGGAACCGGAAUGCUCGGUGUAGCAGUGAAAUGCGUAGAUAUCGAGAGGAACCCUCGUGGCGAAGGCGGGUUCCUGGACAUUAACUGACGCUGAGGCACGAAGGCCAGGGGAGCGAAAGGGAUUAGAUACCCUGGUAGUC
This 446-nucleotide ribosomal RNA is filed under the name uncultured bacterium. Its description in RNAcentral is "partial 16S ribosomal RNA". It matches the Rfam family "Bacterial small subunit ribosomal RNA", at positions 338 to 795 of the family's 1533-position model. The record is from RNAcentral.